GCUCCUGGCCCCCAAAUUCCGGCCACCUCCGAGCCCUGGCCCGAGCACCCUCCUGCACCGCUCCCUCCCGCCCGCACGCCGCGCCUACGAGCUUCUGCGGCCGCGGCCCAACCUUCGCCCGACCCGCGCCGCCGGCCCACGGGAGCCAAAUUCCGGCGGCCGGCGGCCUCUCCGCUCCAUCUUGGACCACACACCGCCUUGUCGUCGUCUCAAUUUCGUCGGAAUCGGCGAUUUGAGGUUCAAUUUUGUGAUUGAUUAGGGGUUGAUUAGGGAGAGACGGGAAAGAUGGGGAAAGAAAAAGAUAAGAGAGAGGAAGAAGGUAUCUCAGCUAAAAAUAUGCUCUUUUGGGUAUUUGUUUUUGGGUAUCCUGAAAUAGUUGGACACAUUUUGAAUACCCAAAUUUUUUCUCAGCCUCACUCAUAACGGGGCUGGGUACCUAAAAUAUGCGUAUAUGCUCAAGACGUAAACACGAAGAACCACC
RNAcentral lists this long non-coding RNA (481 nucleotides) under Brachypodium distachyon (stiff brome). RNAcentral's name for it is "long non-coding RNA (BDIS_LNC001337)". Lineage: Eukaryota; Viridiplantae; Streptophyta; Magnoliopsida; Poales; Poaceae. The record is from RNAcentral.